This 254-nucleotide ribosomal RNA is filed under the name uncultured bacterium. RNAcentral describes it as "partial 16S ribosomal RNA". It matches the Rfam family "Bacterial small subunit ribosomal RNA", at positions 524 to 776 of the family's 1533-position model. The record is from RNAcentral.
UACGAAGGGGGCUAGCGUUGUUCGGAAUCACUGGGCGUAAAGCGUAUGCAGGCGGAUCGUUAAGUCGGGGGUGAAAACCCGAGGCUCAACCUCGGAACUGCCUUCGAUACUGGCGGUCUUCGAGUCCGGGAGAGGUGAGUGGAAUUGCGAGUGUAGAGGUGAAAUUCGUAGAUAUUCGCAAGAACACCAGUGGCGAAGGCGGCUCACUGGCCCGGUACUGACGCUGAGAUACGAAAGCGUGGGGAGCAAACAGG